Molecule: ribosomal RNA, 255 nt
Filed under: uncultured bacterium
Lineage: Bacteria
Description: partial small subunit ribosomal RNA
Rfam family: Bacterial small subunit ribosomal RNA
Source: RNAcentral
AGGACGAACGCUGGCGGCGUGCUUAACACAUGCAAGUCGAGCGGAAAGGCCCUUCGGGGUACUCGAGCGGCGAACGGGUGAGUAACACGUGAGUAACCUGCCCCUAGCUUCGGGAUAGCUCCGGGAAACCGGAAUUAAUACCGGAUAUGACCACGGCCGACAUCGGCCACGGUGGAAAGAUUCAUCGGCUAGGGAUGGGCUCGCGGCCUAUCAGCUUGUUGGUGGGGUAACAGCCUACCAAGGCGACGACGGGUA